GUGUCAGCAGCCGCGGUAAUACGGAGGGUGCAAGCGUUGUCCGGAAUUAUUGGGCGUAAAGGGCACGCAGGCGGUUUCUUAAGUCUGAUGUGAAAUCUUGCGGCUCAACCGCAAGCUGCCAUUGGAAACUGGGGAACUUGAGUACAGAAGAGGAGAGUGGAAUUCCACGUGUAGCGGUGAAAUGCGUAGAGAUGUGGAGGAACACCAGUGGCGAAGGCGACUCUCUGGUCUGUAACUGACGCUGAGGUGCGAAAGCGUGGGUAGCAAACAGGAUUAGAAACCCCUGUAGUCC
This 292-nucleotide ribosomal RNA is filed under the name uncultured prokaryote. RNAcentral's name for it is "partial 16S ribosomal RNA". It matches the Rfam family "Bacterial small subunit ribosomal RNA", at positions 505 to 796 of the family's 1533-position model. The record is from RNAcentral.